Ornithodoros turicata is the source of this 1615-nucleotide long non-coding RNA. RefSeq lists it as uncharacterized. The record is from RefSeq and is a predicted model, not a curated record. The transcript has 2 exons. Lineage: Eukaryota; Metazoa; Arthropoda; Arachnida; Ixodida; Argasidae.
UUUGCGAUCGCAUACAAGAGUGAGCCAUCUUUUGACGAUGGUAGGAUAAUUAUUGACCUGAGGAAUAAUAUGGAUUUAUGUGGUUGUGAGAAUAGACGUUGUGUUUGUGAUUGUGAAAAUGUGAGUGUGUGUCUGUGUGUGCGCGCGCGCUUUCCUGAACCAGGGAUCCCACUUGACAAAUUUACCAAAGGAGCAUUAGUGGAAAAAAACAGGGUAGCCCUGAGACAAUAGGAUGACGUCACGACCAAUGAGAACGGCCAGCAGGGGGCGCAAGGAUUCACUUCUCUCUUGGACACUGACGGGUCUCGACACGCAAAUUCUGCUCCUGGCGUUGGCCGUCAGUGGAAGAGCGUAGCUUCGGUGGGGUUCUGUCUGCCUCUGAUGGGGUGCGGAUGUGUGGUUCGUCACUGGUGAAUGGUGUUCGACGAUGCAGGUGGAUUUUGUGACGAGCGGAUUUACAAUGAGGGAAUGCUGUGAACGGGAAAAAUGAUGGUGAGUGUCUUUUUCACUCUGUUCAAGUGUUUGUUUGUUUUCCUCUGUUGCCCAGCAGUCGUACAAUUUGUGCUGACGUGUUCUGACAUGCCCCGAUAUGCAUGCUUUCCGGUGUUGACGUUUUUUAUUUUUUUUAUUUUUUGACAAGGAACAUUGUUGUCUUGACGAUAGUGCUGCCCUGAGUUCUGCGCUCCUGUUUACCCGUACUCUUUGUUGAUUUGUUGAGUACCUAGUCCUCUUAUUUGCCGUUGAUGGAGUUACGUGUUAGGAUAUUUUGUUCUUUUGCAAGUCUCAUUUAGUAAGACUUUGGAAUUCCUACGAUCAGCUUUCAUGCAUGGUGCUCUUCUGCAAUAGUUUCCUAUUCAAUCGUUAUAGAAGAAUAAAGGAAAUAAUCAUGAGAUAGUGAUUCAAUAAAUAAUAGGUCCCCUGUCUAGAGCGUACGCGUCCUUGAGCCACGCAGGUGCAUGAUGACGUCAUACUGUGGCCUCAUUGUAGAUUGACCAAAGGAGCAUUAGUGGAAAAAAACAGGGUAGCCCUGAGACAAUAGGAUGACGUCACGACCAAUGAGAACGGGCAGCAGGGGGGCGCAGGAAUGCUCUUCUCUCUUAGCCUCACGACCAAUGAGAACGGCCAGCAGGGGGCGCAGGAAUGCUCUUCUCACCUAGCCUCACGACCAAUGAGCAAUGAGAGAAGAGGGCGCAGGAAUGCUGUUCACUCUUAGCCUCUCGGAGGUGGUCGCCCCAGAGGGCGCUAGGAGCGCGUAUGCGUAGCGGCCGCGGAGCGGCGCCCCAGUCAGUUUCUCUCCGGCUGUCGCAGAAAGCAGACGUGCGCUCCCCGCGCUCGCUCAGUUUCUGGCUGGUUGUCACGGAGAGCAGUCGCAUCGGUCUGCGCUCCUGCUGUGGUGAGGUGAUUUGUUGUGUAACUAAUGCUUUCGUCAACUUUGUUCCCGCUUUGUUUGCGAUUUUCGUGCCAGUGCUGGUUGCUGUUGACCGGGCAUCCCGGGCAUUUUCUAUCAUCUUCUGCCUUGGGAACGGGAGUAGCGCUGGCGUGAUUCUUAAUAAUUUUGUUGCGAGAUUAGUUGAGAAAGUAACCGCUAGGGGAUGCAGCUGCGGGGCUUUAUACA